Molecule: unclassified non-coding RNA, 1013 nt
Filed under: Hevea brasiliensis (rubber tree)
Lineage: Eukaryota; Viridiplantae; Streptophyta; Magnoliopsida; Malpighiales; Euphorbiaceae
Source: RNAcentral
AUGCAUCCGAUAUUGAUCUUCUUCCAAACCGAAAGGACUCUUUGCCUCCUUUAAUACCAAAAUAAAUUAAGCAGCUCUUAAGCAUAUCUAAUCGUCUCAAACAAAGUGAAUACAAAUACAUGCAGCAUAAUUGCUCGGCAAAAAAGUAUAUGGAUAUACUUUCAAAUGGCACGCAAGUACAAUCAAACCACACAUAACAAAAGAAACUACUACUUGUGCUAGCUAAACAUGCAUGGUUUCCUAGUGUAUCAUCCACGCUAUUAUCUACUGGUCUCAUUUUCCAUUUUAAUUACUUUAACAGGAGUAAAACAGCUUAUACAAGGCAAGUACACAACCCAUUUGCCACACUAUCGGUAAACACAAAGCAAAUUACAAGUUCCAUUAAGAUAAGAGAAGCAUCAUCACUUGCCAUCUCAACAAAUCAAUAGAAAAUUUUCAAUUUUUGGCUUUGCUUAGGGUAUGCAAGGCAAAAUCGACUACUACAGAAGCCUGCUUGUGAUAACUAAAUUUGGGUAAAUUAGUUCACACUCCAAAGUAAUUUGUUCAAGAUAAUUUCAUAUAAAAUCAACAGGGUUACCCCUCUUUUAAAAUAUUGUUUAAGAUCAUAAUAAUCAUGAUAAAAUCAUACUUGGGUUAAAUUAACAAAUCUAGUAACCAUAUUUGGGUAAGCAUGUAUGGUUAUCCUGUGCUGGCCAAUACCCAUGCAUAAAUGUACGUCAACAACGACCUAAAAUGUCAUUAUCCAAAGCGGCAAAAGCAAUAAUUCACCUAAAUAAAGGAAUUCAAUUAUCAUUCCAUUAUCCAAUUGCCAGGCGGACCAACACCGCUAAAUGACAGAAUUAACCUCACUCUUGGCGCUAAGCUAGCUACUUACUCUUGGCCAUUUCUAGAAAACGCCCAUUUCCAGUAUCUUAGGAGAGGUCAUUUUAGGCAUUUGGUAAAAAGACAGGGGCAUAAUUAUCAUUCGAUUAGAUCGAAGGCAAACCUUACCAGAAAAGGGGGAUACCGGAGGA